Podarcis lilfordi (Lilford's wall lizard) is the source of this 75-nucleotide non-coding RNA. The record is from the annotation of a GenBank genome assembly. NCBI's taxonomy places the organism in Eukaryota, Metazoa, Chordata, Lepidosauria, Squamata, Lacertidae.
GCAAACAGAUAGCUCAGUCAGUACAGCAUGAGACUCUUAAUCUCAGGUUCCUGGGUUCGAGCCCCAUGGUAGGCA